Molecule: long non-coding RNA, 861 nt
Organism: Parambassis ranga (Indian glassy fish)
Lineage: Eukaryota; Metazoa; Chordata; Actinopteri; Ambassidae
Source: Ensembl
UGUCCCCUGCUGUGGUGUCUCUGCAGCAGCUCCACAACUUCCAUCAUAACAAUGGAACGAUAGAUGUAACUGAUGUAGUACACUAGUGUCACCGCCAGCAGACUGAUCUGCAAAAGAGAGACAGAGAAAGCUGGAUCUUCAGCCCUCAUACUGAACUCUGAAGAAGACUCUUGGUGGCUGCUGCUCUCAGAUAAAUAAUCAGCAUGGCUCUCUUGAAGUGCUGCUCCCAAACUGUUUUUUAAGGCCAGAGCAUCCUCCUUUUGUGUGACCUUGGAUACAGCUGGUUGGAUUACAGCUUCUUUAUCUGUACCUAAAAUUGUAGUGAACACUGACAGAAGGUCUGAGUCCUGCAACAUGAGAACAAAAGACAUCCUGUGCCCACUGCUGAAAGCCACUCCAGGAUACAGGAAGCUCCAAUACACUGGUCAGUGAAAGAGCAUCUGAAGGAAGCAAAGUCGGAAAAGAAUAAGGUCUGACUGUUCCGUCUCCAAAGCUCCACAGAAAGGUGACGUUGGUCCCUGCAUUGACCCGACAGCUCACUCUUACCAUCUGAUUCUGCAGGACUGAGGCCUGGUGGACUAGCCUGUUGAGCUUCACUGCUCUCUGGAUCAGCAGUGUCAUCACAUCGGAUGUGAGGGACAUCUGACCCAGCGACACGACCGCGACUACUUCAUACCUACGUUGAGAAAGGCAGAACAUGGAAGGGUAAGUGACUCUGUUGGCUACUACACUGGUACAGGUGAUAUUUAAGAUCCCUGCAAAAUAACAGCACUGUCAGGCAGUUCACAAAGCUGCAGACCGGCCCCUUCUAGCAGAAAGGCUCUCAGAGUGACUAAGCCCAUAUAUGCAAGAGGUUCGGGU